AUCCAGCUGACGAGUCCCAAAUAGGAUGAAACGCACGCCCUGGAU
Molecule: non-coding RNA, 45 nt
Organism: Schistosoma rodhaini
Lineage: Eukaryota; Metazoa; Platyhelminthes; Trematoda; Strigeidida; Schistosomatidae
Source: Rfam